This 449-nucleotide ribosomal RNA is filed under the name uncultured organism. RNAcentral describes it as "partial 16S ribosomal RNA". It matches the Rfam family "Bacterial small subunit ribosomal RNA", at positions 334 to 799 of the family's 1533-position model. The record is from RNAcentral.
CACUCCUACGGGAGGCAGCAGUGGGGAAUAUUGGACAAUGGGCGCAAGCCUGAUCCAGCCAUGCCGCGUGAGUGAUGAAGGCCCUAGGGUUGUAAAGCUCUUUCACCGGUGAAGAUAAUGACGGUAACCGGAGAAGAAGCCCCGGCUAACUUCGUGCCAGCAGCCGCGGUAAUACGAAGGGGGCUAGCGUUGUUCGGAUUUACUGGGCGUAAAGCGCACGUAGGCGGACUAUUAAGUCAGGGGUGAAAUCCCGGGGCUCAACCCCGGAACUGCCUUUGAUACUGGUAGUCUUGAGUUCGAGAGAGGUGAGUGGAAUUCCGAGUGUAGAGGUGAAAUUCGUAGAUAUUCGGAGGAACACCAGUGGCGAAGGCGGCUCACUGGCUCGAUACUGACGCUGAGGUGCGAAAGCGUGGGGAGCAAACAGGAUUAGAUACCCCUGUAGUCCCAUG